AGGCCACUGGGCAUGCGGAAAGCCCACCCCAAGGGAACAAUCAGGGAAGAAGGAACGCAAGACGGUGGAAGCAUGCCAACCUAUUAAACCGCAAGUCAGAGAUCAAACCAUGUACUUGAAUCUCUCAAGUUCCCGGCUUAACCCUCUUCCAAGUAGCAUUGCGAAGCUGAUCUCAGACAAACGCAGCCCAUGGAAGAAUGCUAAGUGCUCGUGAUUGGUUAAAACUCAAAUAAAAAGUUGAAGUGGAGACGAUAUAUACCUGUUCCAAAAUACAGAUCCUCAUUUGAAAAUGGAAAAAGAAAAGAAAUGGAGGCAUUGUGUGAUAUUUGCCUAAAUAUAACUAAAGAGAUCCAUUUAUUUUUAGUGUUUGAUUAAAAACCCUCAAAGGAAAAGAGAAAUUUUGAUCUUUGAGAAGAGCUGUUUCAUCACAGGGUGAAGUUGUUUCCUGAGCCCUUUGAUCUGAAAUGACCUUGCGACCUGGAACCAGCAGACAGCCUGAGGGAGGCAGUGCAUGUUCUGAGCCAGGGCCUCAGGAGGCCUGCAGCUGCCAUUCUGCUUCUGUUGGAACAUGACCUCCUUGAGAACACUCCCAGGCCUGACUGCAGGGUGGGGAGACCACACAGAGCAGAGCCGAGCCACCGGGAUGAGGCCCCUAGAUCACCCAGCUCCCAGCUGACCACAGAUCAUGAGUGAUCCCGUUUCUCCCUAGGUCAAGGGUGAUGUUUUGCUCAGAGAAAACUGAAGUUUGGAUUGUUCCAGUCCUGCAUCACAUCCUGUUUCAGGCUGCCCUAAAACAAAACCAGAAACAACCAUCACCACAAAACACCAUACCUUCAAUAGUCUUCUCAGUGUUCAGAAUAAAGGCUCUGGUUUUCCCUUGGGCUCAAUUUUCAUGAUUGUGUCUCCUUUGUCAAUAUGUUUUUCAUCUUCCUCACUUUCAAACUGCACUU
RNAcentral lists this long non-coding RNA (950 nucleotides) under Homo sapiens (human). RNAcentral's name for it is "HSALNT0036583". Lineage: Eukaryota; Metazoa; Chordata; Mammalia; Primates; Hominidae. The record is from RNAcentral.